CCAGUUUUUGGUGAACUGCUUUCCCCAAUAUUCAAGUAACUGAUAGUAUAGUUCUACUGUCUCAAGCGGUGAUCAAACACAGGUCGUCGCGACAAACUUGCCCUGGUUUGGCUAGCUAGUUAGCUAACAUUUAUUCCUUGAUCAGGACUCUGUUUCAUUAUUACAUUACACAUAACGAGUCAUUGGACGAAGGCGUCUUCUGUGCGGGGGAGUAUUUUGUAACGACACUCGGUCUGAACAUGAAAACGAUUCGCUUGCGGUACGAUUUUGCAAGCAUAGUGACCUUGUCUUUAAUAUCAAAGAUAAAUAUUUUCCAAACAAAAGGUUAAAUUGUUCCCACACGGCCAUAUUUCCAUGUUAACGUUAGCUGUCUGCGUAAACAAACACUAUCUGCGAAUCCGAACACCUGUGUUAACGGAAGACAAACGACACAAACAUGUUGUCACUGAAAAAUACUGUCCGCUGCAACUGUUAAACCGCUACAGAGGUGGUGUGAUAGAACACAGGACUGAGAAGACCUGCAGUUGUCUGAGUGGCUUCUUCUUUCUGCUGUGGCAUCAUGGGAAAGCAGGCGUGUCUACGAUAUACCUCUUCUACCUCGCUCCCUCCUCUCUCCCUCCCUCUGAUGCCGGGGUUCAGUAGUGGGCGACUAGGUGGGGAGGUGGGUGGCCCCGCCUCCUCUCCCCCCUGCCCGUUCCGACCCAGUCGCUACGUUCCCGUCUCUGCGGCCACCUCUUUCCUGGUCGGCUCCACCACGCUCUUCUUCUGCUUCACGUGUCCGUGGUUGUCAGAGCAUGUUUCCUCCGUCAUUCCCAUCUAUAACGCUGUGGUCUUCCUCUUCACCCUCGCCAACUUCUGCAUGGCCACCUUUAUGGACCCAGGGGUCUUUCCCAGAGCGGAAGAGGAUGAGGAUAAAGAGGAUGAUUUCCGCGCUCCGCUAUAUAAAACGGUGGAGGUUAAGGGCAUUCAGGUCCGGAUGAAGUGGUGUUCCAGCUGCCGUUUCUACAGACCGCCCCGCUGCUCACACUGCUCUGUGUGUGACAACUGUGUGGAGGACUUUGACCACCACUGCCCGUGGGUGAACAACUGUAUUGGGCGCAGGAACUACCGUCACUUCUUCCUGUUCCUGUUGUCCCUGACGAUCCACAUCAUGGGUGUGUUUGGCUUCGGCCUGCUGUACAUCCUCCAGCACCAGCACCAGCUGGACAGUGUUCACUCCUCUGUCACUAUGGCUACGAUGUGUACAGCUGGCCUGUUCUUCAUCCCAGUAGCAGGUCUUACUGGUUUCCACAUGGUACUGGUAGCUCGGGGUAGGACCACUAACGAGCAGGUCACAGGGAAGUUUAGGGGCGGGGUUAACCCUUUCACCAAUGGCUGCCUGAGGAACGUCUCACACGUGCUCUGUAGCUCUCAGGCUCCCAGGUACGUGGGGCGGUGGCGGGGCAAGCAGACAGUGGAGGUGCAGCCUCCCUUUCUCCGCCCUCCUCUCUCCGAGGCGCAGCUAGAGGCCAAAGUCCUGGACAACGGCAUCCAGAACGACCACCACAGCACCCGGUCUAAGAGCAGUUUAGAGCAGAUGGAGAGCCAGUCAGCAGAUGCAGAGCCUUCACCUGCUCCCAAACCGGAGGUCCGCUACCCUGGCCUGCCCCGCGCGGACACCGAGGAAAGCAGCCUGCUGUCUGAAGGCCCGUCCACUCCCUCUAUGUACAAGUACCGGCCGGCCUAUAGCAGCCCACAGAGGAACCACACAGCUCUGACGCACCCAAACAAGAUGAUUCGUGGGGACAGUCUGGACUCUCCCUCCAUUCUCCAGUCAAGUCGCCAGCCCAGCUAUCGGUCUGAGCCCAGCAGCCUGGAUGGGGGGUCGGUAAUUGGUUUGGCGGCACGUGGAGGGGAGAGGGGCGAGGGCCCCGGGGGGUCCAGUGGGACGGGUGGGGAGGUUGCGGGGGGCAUCUCCGGGUACUCCCUAGGGGGGCGGUCGUACACUUCCUACCCCUCCUCUCUGGUCCUGUCCACCGGUGGCUCUCACUCCUCCAGCAUGCGCUCUGCCCACACACACCAUAAUACGCUGGGCACGCUCCAAUCAGAGGGCACCACCGACACCAGCUACAAGAGCCUGGCCAAUCAGACACCUCAGAACGGCAGCCUGUCCUACGACAGCCUGCUGACGCCGUCCGAGAGCCCCGAGUUUGAGUCGGCCGCUCACGAGCUGUCCCCACAGAAGCCCCAUGCCCCUGCAGCGUUUCCCCCGACGAUGACCUCCUCGCCGCCCCUCGGGGUCAGGGACGUUCCCUUGCAGGGGUACACCUCACCCUUCCUCUCAGCACAGAUGGCCCAGCAGAGAGAGGGCCAGCUGCUCCAGGGCUCUGCCUCUUUCUCCUCCCCCAACAGGGCAUACCUCCGCGCCGUCAGCCCUCCCCCGCCGAAUCCCCCACACGCUGCCCACCCCGAGACACAGCACCACCUCCUCCACCAGGACUCCAGACACCCACACUUCCGUGCCACCUCCUCCAUUCGUCCCCUUCCUCCCGUCUCUGAACAGCCCUCCCCCUCCUCCCCGCAUGCCUGUUCCCCAGACCCCCCUGUGUCUCCCCCGCCCAGAGGCCCCUCCCUAGGGAAGUCCCCCUCCUACACCGGGGAGGCAGGGCUCCAGCACAAGGCUCGGCCAAUGGGAGGAGGCAGUUUGUCGGGAGAGGGCGGAGUCGGAGUGACCCAGGCUCCACAGUGAGUAGAGAUCUGAGCCACGAGCCUGCUACUCUUCAUCCUCUUCCUCCCUGAUUGAUCUAUAUGAGCCCUCUUCCUCCCUGAUCUGUAUCCACCUCUCGCCCAGGCUUGGCCAAUCACAGCACAUCCAAACCAGUUGGGGGGGUGAAAAAAGUGACUGGCGUUGGAGGGACCACCUAUGAGAUAUCGGUUGGAGUGCCAGACAUCCGCCCCAGCCGACGAUAGAAAGAAGAUUGUUCCACUGGACAGAUUCCAGUGCUCUUACUCUGAGGAGACUAUGGAGAUGGUUAUUCACUCACGUGCACACACACAAUGAAAGGACUAUCCUCUGUUCUUGGUCAAUAUGGAGUGGAUAGUGGAAUAGAAGUGGUACUUCAAUGACCUUAGUAUCUUUAUAAUGACACUGGCCAUCUUUUACUGACGAUCAUUUAUAUUGGAUCAAAUGGCGACUGAAGUGAAACUCUGAAUGUUGAUCAGUAAUGGAAUGGGUCAACCUCUCCGCAGUCUGUGAGCCAUAGACUGUAUAACAGGAACCUUGUUCUGACAGCUGGGUACUAAACUCUAUAACGCAUAUAUACAAAGAUGAUUUAUUUCGGUACGUUAGUACAUGGAGAAUUUAUCCGAUAAAAUGUAAUCCUGGAAAGGAGGGUAUUUGAGCCAAUCGGUAUGGAGCCUGAGAGGGCGCAUAUGGACUGGUGACCAAUUGUGGCGCUCAGUGGUUCAAGACUUCCUGUCCCAUUCAAAUGGAUGGACCAAUCACAAUGGAUCACCACUCCACAGUAGUCACUAAUGUAAUUAGUCUGCAGCGAAUAUUCAGACUGCAGAGAUGAUGCCUCAACCCCUGCAAACACAGUUUCAUUUGAGUUUUAUAAAGCUUUUGUUUUUUUGUUUUUUAUAUAUAUAUAUAUAUAUAUAUAUAAAUGCCUAAAGAAUCUUUAAGAAUUAUUGGGUCAAUUGUUCAGAUGCUGGAGAUAGCGUUUUGGGGUUUGUCAAUGACUAAGAAUGUGAGUUAGACUAAUUGCUUGUUUUGAUUGAUGGCUGUAUCAGCCAGUCAUAGAGCUCGCUGCAGUUCUCAUCCAAAGAGAUUGGUGAUCCUAUAUGACGGCCAGCUGAAGAGGCCUGUCACUGAGGAUGUUGAAAGCCACAUAGAAAAUGUUUAUUCUGAAUCAUAAAUACAGUACAAGCCUCUUCAUGGAAUGUCCACUAGAAAUGUUUAUUAUUGAUACAUUAUGUGAAAUCUCUCUUCGAAGCUUUUAAAUGAUUUGCCUGUCAUUUUGUCUGUCAAUCAGUGCUAGAAAAACUUUAAGGAUGGUCAGCCAAACAUGUUAAGAGUGUGAGGGGGCAUAUUUAUUUUACUGGACAGGAAAACCUUUGAGUUCUGAACACAAUUCCAAACCAAUCUCUAUAUCCAGGAAUUGGAAGAAGUUGCCCCUACACAUUGAGGCCUUUUGCCCCUAAUUGUUAAGGCACUAAAGGAGGGGAAGCUGAUUCUAAAUGUAUUCCCAGAAGGGGAAACUUCUACCCAGAGACCACAUCCCUAUCAUAGUGCCUUGUCCUUAGAUUCUAAUAUAAUUGGAAAAUUCCAACAUAUCAAAUUCUGGGGGGUGAUAUAAAUAUAGGUAUGCUGUAGUAACUUUUCUUUGUUCAUAGAUGUAUGACAUGUCUAGGAGGGGACAGAUGUCAGGGUUGGUUUGAAAUUGAGGACUGUUUUGAUCAGUUUUUGCCUUGAGACCAUUCGUAGUAAAACAAAGCGGUUUUUUUUACAUAUAUUUUAAAGUAUUUCUUACAACUAUAACCAGGUAAGAAUUUUAUAUUUUAAUUGGUUUUGUUGACGUUCUGGCCUCUUGAUUUCCUUAUCUGCUUUCUGUUUUUUUUAUCUCUUUAUGGUACAGUUAACAUUUUGCACAUGAAUAUGUUUAGGAAGGCACAGUCAGAAACAGGAGUGUGUGGUUGAGAGGAGAAGGUGGUAUGUUUAAUCCAAGCCCACUACAUAGUUGGAUUGUCAAAGCUAGCUGAAUGUAGCACGUUUUAUGUUCAGGGAAUUCUGAAGCACACAAACUAUCAACCAAUCACACAGCAGUGUGGCCACAGUCAGUGUUUGUAUGCAACCCUAACCCCCCCCCCCCUCGCCAUGUGUACAGUAGGUGUGAUUGUGUGUUGUGUUGAAUGCACUCCCAGUGUGUGUGUGAGAAUAUCCUCGUCAAAUGCACACCUGGUUGAUAUGAGUACAAGCAGUCAAACAUACAGGGCUAGAGAGAGUCUUACUUUCUCCUGGUGGGGAAGGGGGCUUUGAACAACAGAAUAUACGUGAGUAAAUAAGAAUGCUGCUAUUGUUGUGGGCUAUGCUGAAUGGAGAGUGUCGGAAAUAUUUCUGAUGAAUAUGUAGAAGACAUUUCCAAAAUGGCCUUAAAAGUUUAAGGUGUCUUCUCAGAAUAAAAGGUCAACCUGA
Salmo salar (Atlantic salmon) is the source of this 5173-nucleotide non-coding RNA. The record is from RefSeq and is a predicted model, not a curated record. Lineage: Eukaryota; Metazoa; Chordata; Actinopteri; Salmoniformes; Salmonidae.